This 346-nucleotide ribosomal RNA is filed under the name uncultured eukaryote. RNAcentral's name for it is "SSU rRNA". It matches the Rfam family "Eukaryotic small subunit ribosomal RNA", at positions 594 to 945 of the family's 1831-position model. The record is from RNAcentral.
AUAGCGUAUAUUAAAGUUGUUGCAGUUAAAAAGCUCGUAGUUGAACUUCAGACCUGGCUGGGCGGUCAGCUUAUCGGCGUGUACUGUCUGGCUGGGCCUUACUUCUUGGUGAGCUGGUGUGUCCUUUAUUGGGUGCGUCGGUGAACCAGGACCUUUACCUUGAGAAAAUUAGAGUGUUCAAAGCAGGCCUAUGCCCGAAUACAUUAGCAUGGAAUAAUAAAAUAGGACGUGCGGUUCUAUUUUGUUGGUUUCUAGAGUCGCCGUAAUGAUUAAUAGGGAUAGUUGGGGGCAUUAGUAUUCAGUUGCUAGAGGUGAAAUUCUUGGAUUUACUGAAGACUAACUACUG